AGUGACUAAGCGUACACGGUGGAUGCCUUGGCAGUCAGAGGCGAUGAAAGACGUAGUAACUUGCGAUAAGCCCAGAUUAGGUAGUAACAACCAUUUGAGUCUGGGAUUUCUGAAUGGGGAAACCCACUUACAUAAGUAAGUAUCGCUGCGUGAAUACAUAGCGCAGCGAGGCGAACCGGGGGAACUGAAACAUCUAAGUACCCCGAGGAAAAGAAAUCAACCGAGAUUCCGAAAGUAGCGGCGAGCGAAAUUGGACUAGCCCUUAAGCUUUACACGCGUUAGA
This 283-nucleotide ribosomal RNA is filed under the name Vibrio parahaemolyticus. RNAcentral describes it as "partial 23S ribosomal RNA". It matches the Rfam family "Bacterial large subunit ribosomal RNA", at positions 1 to 292 of the family's 2925-position model. The record is from RNAcentral. Lineage: Bacteria; Pseudomonadati; Pseudomonadota; Gammaproteobacteria; Vibrionales; Vibrionaceae.